RNAcentral lists this ribosomal RNA (493 nucleotides) under uncultured bacterium. RNAcentral's name for it is "bacterial SSU rRNA". It matches the Rfam family "Bacterial small subunit ribosomal RNA", at positions 28 to 507 of the family's 1533-position model. The record is from RNAcentral.
GAUGAACGCUAGCGGGAGGCUUAACACAUGCAAGUCGAGGGGCAGCAUAGGGUAGCAAUACUCUGAUGGCGACCGGCAAACGGGUGAGUAACGCGUACCUGCAACCUACCCUGUACAGGGGGAUAACCCGGAGAAAUUCGGACUAAUAUCCCGUAAUAAUAUCCGGAGGCAUCUUUGGAUAUUUAAAGUUCCGACGGUACGGGAUGGGCAUGCGUAACAUUAGCUGGUUGGUAAGGUAACGGCUUACCAAGGCUAUGAUGUUUAGGGGUCCUGAGAGGGUGGUCCCCCACACUGGUACUGAGACACGGACCAGACUCCUACGGGGAGGCAGCAGUGAGGAAUAUUGGUCAAUGGGCGCAAGCCUGAACCCAGCCAUCCCGCGUGCAGGAAGACGGCCCUAUGGGUUGUAAACUGCUUUUCCAGGGAGAAGAAACGUUACGCACGUGUUGCGUGACUGACGGUACCCUGGGAAUAAGCAUCGGCUAACUCCGUG